AUGAAUGGGAAAGACAUCCUGUGUAAGAACAGUCCAUCACUCUUUGUAGGGACAGAGCUGCUGUGGAUGGUGUACACUGAUAUUUUGCUCGUGAAGGGAUUUGGUCAGGUGCCCAAUAUGAUCCAGCAGGAUCCUGCCUUGGAGCCAGGGGUGAGGAUGGUGAGCCCGGCAAAGGGGCCGGCAGAGGUGUCCGGUCAGUGUCAGUGUCCAGUCAGUGUCCAGUCAGUGUCCGUGUCUGGACAGUGUCCGUGUCCAGUCAGUGUCCAUACCCGGGCAGUGUCCAUACCCGGGCAGUGUCCAUACCCGGGCAGUGUCCAUACCUGGGCAGUGUCCAUACCCGGGCAGUGUCCAUACCCGGGCAGUGUCCAUACCUGGACAGUGUCCAUGCCCAGUCAGUGUCCAUACCCUGUCAGUGUCCAUACCCUGUCAGUGUCCAUACCCGGGCAGUGUCCAUACCUGGUCAGUGUCCAUACCUGGACAGUGUCCAUACCCGGGGCUGUCCGUGCGCUGCGGGAGCCGCUCCCCGCUCCCACUGAGAGCGCAGCUCCAUCUGCCGGGGCCCGCCCGGGAACCCAUCCCGGGAACCCCUCCGUGUUCCCAUUUCCCCACAUCCGCGCUCUGUGCUGGCAGUGUUUCCCUGCUCGGUGCUGUGAGCGGUGUUUGCGGGCAGGGCUGGCCCGGGGCGCCGCGGGAAGCGCCACCAAUCCCGGCCGGAGCAUCCCGAGCUGCGCCGGCCGGGCCGGGCCGGGCUCCGUGCGGGGCUCCCGCUCCAGCCCUGCCUGCGCCCAUCGGGGCCAUCACCUCACAGCCUUGGCAGCUCUCCCGUCUUCCCUCUCCUCGGCUUCUUGUUUUAUUUGUGUGUUCCAGAGCUGUGGGCAGAGCCGUGUCUCGCCCGCCCUGCCCAAGCGGGGAUUGCCCGCUGGGCCGGGAGAGAAGCCACAAUUCCUUUGUAGCCAGGGAAAGACCCGAGCGGAUUUUAAGAUGCUGAACCCCCCAGGGCAGCAGAAUGUCAGAGGAAGGUGCACCGGCUCCAUAACGCUCCCAACAAAAAACUGCAGUUUUAAGGAUUAG
Molecule: long non-coding RNA, 1071 nt
Filed under: Cyanistes caeruleus (blue tit)
Lineage: Eukaryota; Metazoa; Chordata; Aves; Passeriformes; Paridae
Description: lncRNA (ENSCCEG00000001802.1)
Source: RNAcentral